GAAAUAGGAGAAGAAAGAAAAGAGAGAGCAGGCGUGUGGCUGAAACAGCCCAGCUGCCAGCCGCCCAACUCCACCAAUUUCCUUCUCCCUACACCCUACCACCUAUUCCUUAGCAUGCUCCAGCAGCCCCAACUCCUCCAAUCACCUUCACUCUACCUUACACCUAUUCUUGCUAGCAUACUCAAGUAUGCACCAAUGAACUCUUAGUAUCAACCCCAGCCAACAAACAACUCUCACUCUCACUUUAUUUCACCGAAAAAAAUAUCGAAGAGCAGCCCCAAUUCAUUCUGCCAAGAUCUCAAGGUAAGGCUUGGCUUCAAUGUUUUCAUUUCCUUUAAGUAGUUCACCUGCAUUAACACAAGAACCAUAGUUCAUUCAGUUAUUGCUCUAUUAAAACCAUUCAACUACAGCGAACAAAUCAUCAAUCAAACCAAACAACUGCAAGCUAUUACACAUUUCAUUCAACUCCAACAGCCACCAAUCAGUUCGAACACAUUCAAGGUAUUAUACUAUCUCGAAUUUCAAUCCAAUCAAGCAUUCAUGUCAACAUGUUCAAGCUAUGGCAUUACAACUAUGUUAUGAUUCACUCAUUGUUACUUUAAGCUCUAGAACGACACACCAUGAGUACUCUGCCCUUAACAACUAGAAACUAGGAUAUAAGGAAGUAGGACUUAGCUUUAGGGAAAAAGGGCGCAGCCUGUUCGGUCGAGCCAAGAAGCGAUGAUCGGGCGACGGCUCAUGGGGAUCCUAGCGCCAACCGCGAAUCCCGGCGAUGUGCAGAGGCACGCCGGACUCGUGCGCAGCAGCGGCGGUUCCAAGGACAGCAGCGUCGACGACAUCGAGCGGUGAAAGGCAGACGACUCCCGAUCACAGCGAUGGCCCCGCGCCCAUUCUAGAGUAACAGCAGCGGCGGCGUACCCAUCGCCCGAAUCCAGCAGCAGUGCGGCCGCUCGAACCGCCGACCCGGAGAAAGCAGCAAUGACAGACGCUUGUCUACUCACCGGAGGGACGAAAAGGCGACAAGGUUGCCGGAUUCUGGAAGAGGAAGAGGGAGUGUGGCCGGUUCUUUUUGGGGGAAGGAUAGGGCUCAAUUCUUGAGCGGCCUCCCCUGAAGCUGAGAGACAGCAGCAGCGGCUCGGUGCACGGCGGCGGUGGCGAUUCAGGCGGAGAAACGCCGGCUUGAGACAACAACGUCGUCGGAGGAACGCAAGAACAGCGGCGGCGCUCGCCGGUCCCACGGCGGCGGCAGCAGAUUGAAGCACAGGCGAGAGUAUUAGGGCUCGCUCCCCCUUUUUCCUCGAGCUUGAAUUCAAGAAAUUGAAAGCGAAGGAAGGCAGGGAUGGAGGUAAGGGAGGAGGAUCGAUCGCCGUUCACCGGAAUUUCAGGAGCGGCGGCGGCGAUUUUCGAUUUUCUAUUUUUGGGAGGGGCUAGGGUUCGAUUAUGACAGGAAAGGGUAAAGAUUAAGGAACGAAUUGUUGAGCUGCUGGGUUGAAUCAGAUGAGAGAUCGACCUUGGAAGGAGGAGGAGGCGCUCGCCGGUCUUCCACAGACGGCAGCGGCGGCGGUACCCGCCUCGGCUGAGGCCGGAUCGAGAGGGAGAGAUAGGGAGAGGACCGAAGGGAGUAUCUGAUUGAGAGAGAG
RNAcentral lists this long non-coding RNA (1640 nucleotides) under Salvia miltiorrhiza (redroot sage). RNAcentral describes it as "long non-coding RNA (SMIL_LNC013968)". Lineage: Eukaryota; Viridiplantae; Streptophyta; Magnoliopsida; Lamiales; Lamiaceae. The record is from RNAcentral.